Gallus gallus (chicken) is the source of this 9096-nucleotide long non-coding RNA. RefSeq lists it as uncharacterized. Lineage: Eukaryota; Metazoa; Chordata; Aves; Galliformes; Phasianidae. The record is from RefSeq and is a predicted model, not a curated record. The transcript has 3 exons.
CGGGCGCGGUGGGCACACGGUGCCCAGGCCGCACAUCGGCUGCAUCCUUUUGUUUCAGAUGCAUCCCCUCGCUCCGGUGGGAGAGCAGAGGGAGAGCACCCACUCCGCGAGCAACACAGCUCGGCGCAGGGCUCAGCCGUUGUUCUGCAGCCGCUCCUGGGGCUGCCCAGUGGGGCACUCCGUGCUGGCAGCGCUCACUGACCUCCUCCUGGACAUCGCACCUCAGUGUCCCCCCAUCCCCAGCCCGCUCUGUGCCCCCAGCCCUUGAUGGCUAUGAGGGGGAUUUUGAUGCAAUCAGCCCAGCCGUAGGGCCUUCACCACUGCCAAGGAUGGGAACUGCCACAUCCCUGCUUAUGGCUUGUUGGUGCCCAUGUCCAAUUGUGAUGUGCGUCAACCACGGCGCUGCUGGGAGGAGAAGGUCAGGGAGCGCUGUGCUGAGCCCUGUGGAGCGGGGGGGUGAAUGGGCACCGUGGGCACUGCACGGCCGACCCUUCCCCAUCUCAAGCUGAAGGGCAGCAGUGCAGCCCCGGGGUCCCUGCGGUGGGAGGGCAGCGGCUGCGCUCGCUUCCAGCUCAAUGGCUGCCGCUCCUCCCUGAAGCUAAAAUAAAAUCCUGACCAUUUAAGGUGAACAGGAGACUUGCCGUGGACCUCGGAAGGGUUUUAACCCCUUCCCAUUGCUGGGCUUUGUUUAUUCCUCGCGCUCCCUUCGCUUCGAGCUAGACCACGCGGCAGAGCCAGCCCCCUGCACUGGGCACACAGCAGCGAGGGCGCGAGCCUGACGCGGCCGCCGUGUUGCCUCACCAUGUGGACACUUAUUUUAUACUAAGUGCCUUUGUGUGGGCUAGGUUAAUCCACUUUGGAAAUGGAUUAACCUAAAUUUUGCAUCGGCAAACUUAGCGUGGAACAGACGCAUCCACUCGGGAAGCGAGGGUGGAGGAGCGGGCAGGGCUGCAGGCAGGAACCCUUCCAGUGCCGGCUGCAGGACCUGACCCCAGUGGGGUCACCGCCGCACAAGCGGGGUCACGAGCCCGACAGAAAUGCCAUUGUUUGUGGCAGCGCCUGGGGCCGCCAGGCCGGCACGGCGAGGCUGGGCACAGAAAUGGGGCUCCUGUGGGAGGGACAGCUCUGCAAAGCUGCAACCGGAGCACCCUUUUGGUGGGGAUCCUUCAGGUUCGAACCACGGAGGGGGAAAUAACUGGCAAUUAGGUAGAGGAUCGGUAAUGAUAAUUUAUCAAGUUGUCAGGAAUAGGGUAAGUGCCUUACGGGACUGUGUUUAAAAAAAAUCCCAACAUAAUAAACCAGUACUGCUGCUAUUAUAUUAUAUAUAAAACACAUCAAAUAUAUUAUUUAUAAGACGCUUCCUUCCCUCUCGGCACGUUCGUUACCUCUGAACCCUGCAAACCCUUCCCUGUGGGCGCACACAUCCCUGCGGCUCCCCGCCUGCCUGCCCACGCAGAACCAAGCCCUGCCUCCUGCACACCCAGAGCCACGCCAUGAGGGGCUGCUGGCAGCACCCAGCCUCGUCCUCCAGUGCUUCCCAAGGCACGGCCACACAGGCAGCACUGGGGCUGCUCUCAGACUCAGGGGUACACUGCCUGUAGGAACGCCGCUGGGUGAGUGUGGACACAGAGAUCUGGAGGGGACUGUGUGAAGUGGGAUCUGGCUCUCAUGCUGAAGGAGCCACUGACUCGGGGGUGACUUUGUGCCUCUGGAAGUGGGUUAAACAACAAAUGGCACCUCCUGCAUCUGUUGCUCCGUGACCACCAAACCCUACUGGGUGAUGAGCAUUAAAAAUGCAAAGCUUUGCCAAGUGAUGCCUGUAAGGAAAGCAGGACAAACAGAGGCAGGGCCACAGCCCCAUGGCAUGAAGGGAGGUGUGACUUCUGCCUGCACCGUGUUUUAGUUACGUGGCAUCCAGAGCAGAGUCAGGAAGAAAUGGAGAGAAGAGGCUUGGGAAGCUUUGUUACAGAGCACAUCUGCGUGGGCUGAGGGCCGUGUUCCCCUUUCUCUUGGUCACUCCUUCUGCAGAAGCAACAGCUGCUGGCAUUUGGCAUAUGCACAAAUAGAAGUGCUUUUUUUUUCCUUCUUCAAGGGCGAAGGCCAAGAGAUGGAAGGGAAAUAUAGCACACGUCAGGGUGCACCAGUCCCAGCAAAGCAGCAGGAAAGAGCUGCUUCUGCGGGUGGAAUGUGCCUUCCCUGGGAGCUCAGGGGAGGGCUGGAUGCCAGUACCAGGGAUUCAGAUCCCAUCCACACACAGGGAUCCAUAUCCCAUCCACACGCAGGAUGCAUAUCCCAUCCACACACAGGAUCCAUAUCCCAUCCCUGCACAGGAUCCAUAUCCCACCCCUCCCAGCUUCUGCUGGAGCACCACCCCUCAGCAGCUCUGCACUAUGCCAUAGGUUGACACAGACUCACAGCUUUUCUCCUAGCCACCACACCAGAACUGAGCCAUUUUAACCAACGCUACACCAUAACCAACAUGAAGCCCAUCUUUUGCCAUUCUCAAGCCACACCGUGUUUCCAGCAUCCAUCUUUGUGAGUGCCAGCAUUUGCUGGGAGAUGCACGUGCCCAUUCCCAGCCCUGCAGCGAGGCACACGCCUGCCUGAGCAGGUAGAACAGGAGCAGAAACAAAAGCAACAAUGCAACUCAAGGUUACAACGCUGAACCACACAGCUUCAUUUUCGGCAGUAACGGAAAUCAUUAAUAACAGUUCACGUUCUCAAAGUAGUUGCCAUCCAAGCUCUUGAAGAGCUUUAUUAGUGCGCGAGACCUCAGAAGUCUCUCUAAGGUAUUAGCCCCUUCUUAAAGGGAGAGGGCAAUUAGGAAACAACCAUUUGUGCGCCUCGAUCAAAGUCAGCACACAGCACAUCAGUGAACGAAGGGGAGGUGAUGCAGAGAGCCCACGGCCAUGGCCUGCCCAAGGCUACAGGAGGAAUGGGCCCAUCAGGAGCCACAGUGCAUUCCCCCAAGCACCCCUCCACCAGUUUGCAGCCACCAGAUACGGGACCGCAGUGGCGCGCGGUGCCUGGUGCAGCCUGCAGCCUCAGAGGACAUGUGGUGACUGGCACUGCUGAGAUCUGGCAGUGCCACCUCAUUCAGUGCCUCCUUCCCAUAGGAAGCAAUGCAAUUUCCCUUAGCAGUGCAGAGUCAGGGCCACAGCAUCAUAUCUCAUGUGGAAGAUGCCAGCAGUAUUUAUCCCAGCCAGCCCACGCCUGGAUCUCAAAUCAUUUUGCUUGCACCGAGCAUUGCACUGAGCACAUACAAAGCUUACCAGCAACGCAGCUACAGACACUGAGGGAUCUACACAGCUGGAAAUGAAAUCUCUCCUGCUUUAACUAGCUGGGAACCUCACGGUUAAUUCCAAUCACAAAAAUGAGCUGACCCUCACUGAAAGCAAGCCAUUCAGAGAAGUCUGAAACCAGGCUAAAUGGUUUGAUCAUCUGACCUCCUGCAUCUCAUGAGCCAUUAAGGCCAAGGAUAAAAGUUUCACUAAACUGUCUUUGUCAGCUAAGAGGGUGGAGGGAAGCUGCAAAUGUGCAGAAUGGAGUUGCAGGGCUGGACCCGCUGCCGCUGCCAUGGCUGGACAGCAUGUCCUUUAGGGCAAAUGCAUCAGCCAAAGCCUUCUCUGCCAGCAGAAGCUGCAUCUCCACUAGAGGGCUUUGCUGAUGUAGAGCUACGAGUAAGCCUUUACUGCAUCAAUUAAAUCUGUAUUUCCAACAGUUAUGUCUGUACUGAACUGGGUAAUUUGCAUUUAGCGAAACAGUAUCUUCUAGAUACCUCCAGGACUACCCUUUUGUUUUGGCUAUUUCUCCAAACUGUGCCCUCAUGUUGCAGCCCCCUCCACCCCUGCAGUGCACACCGUGAGCUGGGAGCUGUGCACCAGGGUGCAGGACAAGGCCCCCUCCUUCCCUCCCUCCCUCCCAGGCACUCACAAGUCAGCGUGGCAAAGCCAUGGCAACAAGAGAAAAGCUCCUGUUAUUUCACAUCCUGCCAUUCACCGACUGGGUGACCUUCUGUCAGCAGCCACUGAAGCAACCUUUGGAAAUUUUCCGUAUCACUUAAACCUGGUUGCUGUGCCUGCCAAGGUGGCAGCCGCACCUCCAGAGCAGAGCAGGUUUGGAGCUCUGUGCAUCUCAGCCUGCCGUGUUCCACCUGGAGCUGAGCACAGGGCCCUGGCAGAAAUCACCUGAACAGUGUGGUGUGAAAAAUAAACCCAGGGAUGAGUCUGAAUAUGAUAGAAAAAGAUGGUCUGGGAAAUGACUGCAAUAAAACUCAAAUAAGCAAUCAUUUAAACAUGCUAAUAUUUAUCGUUUGAAAACGAGGUGGAAGGAUCAUUAUAGAUGAAUAUUAAAUACCUUCAUUCCUUUUUUGCUGCAAGAUUGAGAAGGUCAGAAGUUCGGGGGAUGCUUUAAUACCUCCACAGAUCCCUGAAAUAUGGCUAAUUCUGCACUAUGUGGAAAGGGAACGGGCCCUCCUGGGCCCUCUCACAUAUGAGAACUGCUAUAAAAUUGGAAAGAAGGAAGACUCACAGCCCAGGAGCUCCUGCAUGUUCCAGUGAACCCAAUUUAAACAGCGUGGGGCACUCAUGCCAGAAUAGAUGUACUGACUUGAAAUAUAUUGAUCUCUACUGAUGUGAGAAAAUAAUCUGACUCCUGUUCUCUGAACACUUCCAUACAGGAUAGUGAUUUGCUUUCUGGUUCUGUCAAUUCUGCAGGAACCCUUAACUGCAUGAACAACCCUGGGAAGAGCUCCUUAUUUUGUGGUUCUUUUUGUCCCUCGAUGCAGACAAAAUGCUCUCAGGUUCUUCUGGCAGCGUUUCCUGGUGGAGACACUGCUGCCCUGAUACUGAUAUGCUUAACAGCAGCCAUAAAUUACAGUUACAUGCACUUUUUUUUUUCCUCCUGAAUAAUGAAGUUAAAAGGCCACUUUGGCAUAAAUUCAUUCAUUGUUAGCCCCUGUGAAGCAAGCUCCUCCUGGUGCUGCUGCAUGCAAAUAAUUGCUUUUGGCAAAAGCCAAGUAGAACACAAGUCACUUGCUUCAUUUAUUUCUAUUAUUACCAUCAAAUGUUGGCGCAGUGCUGGGCAGUGAGGUGGCAGGGCAGCAAGAUGAGAUAGAGGGACGAGUGUCUUAGUGUAAAGUUGACUACACCGAAGCCAUACAGUGUGUAUUUGUGAGCAUGGUGCUCCUUCCCAGGGGUGACCAUGGGCUGUGCCUCUCGGAACCAAUGGCACCCACAUCUCCUGGGUUUUCUCCCUGGGUUCCCACCACAGUAUUCUCCUCAGACUGCUGCUAUACUCAGGUAUGAUAAAGAGCUUCAAUGCUACAUGGGUCUGAGCAGUAGGGCUGUGAUCUUUUGCCAUUUUUUCUCAGGAAUCUCUCUGGAAUUUCAGGGACACAUCUAAAGGCAAAUUUUACUUCUUCCAAACAGUUUUUUUUUUUUUCCCUCAGCUGCUGCAGCUCAAAAAGCUUAGAAAGCUGCAUUGCAACUGUAUGGGAACUGUUGAAUCACGGCCUGAACCUCUGAUUGACCACCUGAGGCGAGCGCUGAGUCAGCCACAGGGGCACAGGUGAACGUAAUUUCACCUGAGUGACCAGAAGGGGUGGAGCCUGGCUGCACCCCUCCUAGACUCCAUUUAAGGGCUGGCUCCGAAGGAGGAAGGAUCUCUAUCUGGGGAUCACUCCUCUUGGAGCCCUUCUGCAAGCCCAGGACACAGGUAAGAUCUUUAUUUCAUUACUCCUUUGUAAUGCGAUAAUCUCUCUGGUCCAAUACCUGUUUUCCAUACAGUAACAUACCACAGAGAGAGCAGCAAAAGAGGUAAGGAAAUAAAAUGAAGUACGGUGAUUUAUGGUCUAGGCCAACAUCUGUGUGUUUCCUCAGCUCGUCCUCUUUUUGUUCCUGCAGGAUAUAUGCUUGGAUUGCAAUCUUCAGGAGUGUUUUCAUGAGCAGUAUGCUGUAUCUGUCCAUCCAGUGGGAGAUCCAGUGCACACAGCAAAACACGGGAAACGCACAGGAAGUUGAGAAGCAUGUCAUGAAGUUUGCCCCGAAUGGAGAUUUGGGACCAAGAGGAAUAGUCCUAUCAGUGGAAAAGGCGUAAGUGGUAAAUACACAAAAUUCUCAGGCUGUCUUUUACAUUCACACCAAACUUAACUCGAAGGAACUGCCUUGAAUUCUGAGAAGCACAACCUGCAGUCCAUAGUGAGGAAAAGCUCAUGCUUAAUGGCAUGCAUAGCAUCAGGGUCUGCAAUCACAGCACUGCUCUGCUUUGAUUUGCACUGAGACCCAGCAACCAGAAGGAAGGGCAGCCCUCGAUUCUGCCUGAAAAAAAAAGGGUCCCACUGCCCCAUCCAGCAGCCCUGGGCUGGAGCUGUCCAAAGUUCUGCCUCCAGCUCACCCUGAGCAGCUCUGCUUGCUGCAGGCAGAACCUCCAACUUGCUCAGUGUCCAGCACAUGCAGAGGAAAAUGCUCCAAGGUGCAGCAGUGCUUCCUGCCAGAUGUCAGGUUUCAGGAAGGUUUCACUGCUGAAAUGCCAGAGGAGCUCUGUACCCACCCCUUCACUCCUGACAGCUGAUCCACAUCUGCAAUUUCACACCCUGGCACCAGAUUCGAUUCUCUACCCAGUGUCCUCUCAUGUCACCCCCAGAUAAAAAACAUCUAUUGGCACAACUUCACAGCUCAAGCUAUCAGCAGUCAUCCCCUCCUCUGCACAAUGCAAACUCUUUCAUUCCUGUGAACUGGCAGCAGCCUACAAGAUCAGAUUGAGGUUUUGGUGUGCUGGAAAGCAGACCCAGCACUGGCUCCCAGUGCCGAUUUGUGGGGAGAGAGUAGAACAUGCUUUGCUUUUUAUAGACUGUUUCCAUGGUGCACAGAGGUUCCCAUUGCUAAUUCUGCAGCUGCAGAACUCCAGAAAAUUGCAUAGCCUGGGUUUAAUUCUGUGGCAUUCUGCCCCUUCUGCUCCAAACCCAAAUGCAGUGGCCUGACACCCCUAGCAGCCAACCGAGCCCCCCUCCCAGCAUGACAUGAGGGCAGAUGGUGCUGAGCUGCACCAAGCUGCUGGCCAGAACUGCCCCACCUGCUAAAGCUCCCAGGAAAACACAGGGAGCUAAAGAGAUAAAUUCCUAUUCACCGUAUGUAUUUUUAAGAUAUUGUUCAUAAUAAGCCUCAUGCCUAAAGAACAAGCAGACUGCUAUAAUCCAUAACAGCAACACUCUCCCACUUCCAUGGGCUAGCACUGGUUGUAUGUGGUCAAAGCCCACCCCACCUGGACAAACACAUUUCCAAAAGCAUCAGCCACCCCACAGCCCCAAGGGCAGAAACCCGCCUCGUGCCUUGCACUGCCCCAUGGCAGGAGGAUAACUCACCUGCUCCUGUGAAUUCAUCACCCGCAGCUUCAUUUGCUUCAGGUAAGUAGAGGUGAGAGGCAUGUUGUAGUCGAUGAUCCCAGAAACCAGAGAGGAAGGUGGUUCGCUCUCUGAAGAACAGAGGAAAAACUUUGUAAAGAUACAGAGAUGUGUUGUCAUCAUUACCAAACAUAUGUGUUUAGAAGUACUUAAAACCCCUAACUGGAGCCACUGCCUGCUGAGCUGAGGUUCCUACAUGAACAUGACUGCACCCAGAGGAUAAUUACAGACCAGAUGUUGUUUUGCAGGAAAAAAAGCACUGCUGUCACCUGUGAAAAGACUACACACAAUAUAUAACUUUUCAGUCUACCAAACUAAAACCUAACAGAGGAAGAAAGUGAGCCUUGCUGAAGAUCUCAGAAACACUUCCAUGCCAAUGGGAUUGAUGCAGAGGGUGAUCAAGAAUAUAUUUCUAGUUUGCUUUGGCACUGCAAAGCCUCACCAGUUUUGCUGGGAUUCCCUCAGGAAAAGCUGCUGGCAAAAAGGGAAAUCUCUGUGCCUUCAUAGAGAGAUACACCAGUGCCAGAGGACAAGCCCAGCUUCCCAGCACACCCCAAAAGGCUGCGUGGCUGCCCACCAGAACAUGAGCUCCAGCAACAGCAAAGGAGGAUUUCCAGGAGCUGAAGGUGAACUGGUGGUGGGAGGUUUCCUUUCCCGUCUCAGAACCUGAGUGCCUGCCUUGCAUUUUCUGGGGUCACCAGUUUCACAGGCACCUUUGACACAGCCCCUUUUACAAACGGCCUUCACAAAAUGUUUUACAGCACCUUAGAAAAUCCAUCAGCCAGCUGUAAUGGGGCUGCUUUUCAGAAAUGCUGAAUAUUGCAAAAGCUCAAUGAAACUCAGCGGACCCGAAGACGCUUCACACCUCUGGAAAUAUCAGAUCUAUUGUGUCUGAUUAAGAAAUGACCUGACCCAAAAGCAUAUUGCCCGUAGCUGACUUAAACAUUACAGAGUUUUUGCAGAAGCCUAGUUAAGAUCCAUGGAAAUGCAGAGUUUGCUCUCCAGGUCCUGGGUACCUGCAGCAUCCUUGAUAGCUGGAUGGGUAACUGGAUGGACAUCUGAGGAACCAAAACAUUUUGGUUUUUUUAUGCUAACUGAAAAGAAAGAAAACCUUCGUUUUAGAGGGCCUGGGGGACUCCAUAGGUAUAACCCUCAUUUCCUAUGUCACAAAAGGGGCUACUGGAGUUAUUUAGCUCCUCUUUAGAAGUUACCACACCCCAAGUGUUGGAAACACAGAUGCAACAGGCAGAGCUGAAGUGAAAUGGUUUGGAUCCUAAUUCCAAGUCUGUAUAAUUCCACUGGAAUUACUCCUAAUUUAAUAACAGUGUAAAAAUGCCACAGUGAAGUCAGAGCUUCCCAGGCACAAGAUAAUUUUCUUCUAUGAAUUAUGUGAGUGCCCUGCAGGGUUCAAUGUCAGGUAUGUUUAAUUAGGGAUUUUUCUGAUCACAUAGGAAGUGUGUUGAGAUUUGCUUAAUGGACAAGUAGAAAUAGAUAGGAAUGACUCCAUUUUUUCCUUCUCACUAAGUUAAACGUUACAUACAACUGUUGGUCUGUGUGUUUGCAUGCACAUACACCCAGGCAAUUUUCCUAUGACCUCACCAUUCUGUAGGUGAUUUGCUCCAGAUGAACUGUGGAAUAUGUAGUAGUGAAAUCAGAUGCUCUUCCCCAGUAAAAGUAAUCUUACCUAAUCUACUCUA